GAUGAACGCUAGCUACAGGCUUAACACAUGCAAGUCGAGGGGUAACGAGAGGAAAGCUUGCUUUCCUUGUCGACGACCGGCGCACGGGUGAGUAACGCGUAUCCAACCUGCCCCCAACUAGGGAAUAACCUUGCGAAAGUAAGACUAAUACCCUAUAAUUUCCUCAGAUGACAUCUGACGAGGAAUAAAGAUUUAUCGGUUGUGGAUGGGGAUGCGUCUGAUUAGCUUGUUGGCGGGGUAACGGCCCACCAAGGCAACGAUCAGUAGGGGUUCUGAGAGGAAGGUCCCCCACAUUGGAACUGAGACACGGUCCAAACUCCUACGGGAGGCAGCAGUGAGGAAUAUUGGUCAAUGGGCGGAAGCCUGAACCCGCCAAGUAGCGUGCAGGAUGACGGCCCUAUGGGUUGUAAACUGCUUUUAUACAGGAAUAAAGUUAGCCACGUGUGGUUAUUUGUAGGUACUGUAUGAAUAAGGACCGGCUAAUUCCGUGCCAGCCGCCGCCGCGG
RNAcentral lists this ribosomal RNA (506 nucleotides) under uncultured bacterium. RNAcentral's name for it is "partial 16S ribosomal RNA". It matches the Rfam family "Bacterial small subunit ribosomal RNA", at positions 28 to 523 of the family's 1533-position model. The record is from RNAcentral.